GCGCUGGUGGUUCAGUGGUAGAAUUCUCCCCUGCUACGCGGGAGACCGGGGUUCGAGUCCCCGCUAGCGUA
Molecule: transfer RNA, 71 nt
Filed under: Dendronephthya gigantea
Lineage: Eukaryota; Metazoa; Cnidaria; Anthozoa; Malacalcyonacea; Nephtheidae
Description: tRNA-Ser
Rfam family: tRNA
About the family: Transfer RNA (tRNA) molecules are approximately 80 nucleotides in length. Their secondary structure includes four short double-helical elements and three loops (D, anti-codon, and T loops).
Source: RNAcentral